This 410-nucleotide ribosomal RNA is filed under the name Acanthopagrus schlegelii (black porgy). RNAcentral describes it as "partial 16S ribosomal RNA". It matches the Rfam family "Bacterial large subunit ribosomal RNA", at positions 2008 to 2568 of the family's 2925-position model. The record is from RNAcentral. Lineage: Eukaryota; Metazoa; Chordata; Actinopteri; Spariformes; Sparidae.
GGGCUUAGCUGUCUCCCUCUCCCAGUCAAUGAAAUUGAUUUCCCCGUGCAGAAGCGGGGAUAAAAACAUAAGACGAGAAGACCCUAUGGAGCUUAAGACGCCAGGACAGCUCAUGUUAAACACUCCAAGAUAAAGGAAAUAAACUAAAUGAAACCCUGCCCUAGUGUCUUUGGUUGGGGCGACCACGGGGAAAAACUUAACCCCCAUGUGGAAUAGGAAUACUAUUUUCCCAGACUCAAGAGCUCCCGCUCUAAUAAACAGAACUUCUGACCAAAAGGAUCCGGCAAUGCCGAUCAACGGACCGAGUUACCCUAGGGAUAACAGCGCAAUCCUCUUAAAGAGUCCCUAUCGACAAGAGGGUUUACGACCUCGAUGUUGGAUCAGGACAUCCUAAUGGUCAGCCCCGCUAA